Molecule: ribosomal RNA, 459 nt
Filed under: uncultured bacterium
Lineage: Bacteria
Description: SSU rRNA
Rfam family: Bacterial small subunit ribosomal RNA
Source: RNAcentral
AGAACGAACGCUGGCGGCAGGCUUAACACAUGCAAGUCGAGCGCCGUAGCAAUACGGAGCGGCAGACGGGUGAGUAACGCGUGGGAACAUACCCUCCGGUUCGGAAUAACUCAGGGAAACUUGAGCUAAUACCGGAUACGGCAUCGGAGAGAGAUCUCGGCGGCGAAAGAUUUAUCGCCGGAGGAUUGGCCCGCGUCCGAUUAGCUAGUUGGUGUGGUAAUGGCGCACCAAGGCGACGAUCGGUAGCUGGUCUGAGAGGAUGAUCAGCCACAUUGGGACUGAGACACGGCCCAAACUCCUACGGGAGGCAGCAGUGGGGAAUAUUGGACAAUGGGCGCAAGCCUGAUCCAGCCAUGCCGCGUGGAUGAUGAAGGCCCUAGGGUUGUAAAGUCCUUUCGACGGGGAAGAUAAUGACGGUACCCGUAGAAGAAGCCCGGCUAACUUCGUGCCAGCAGCCGC